CCUGGCAGUCAGAGGCGAUGAAGGACGUGCUAAUCUGCGAUAAGCGUCGGUAAGGUGAUAUGAACCGUUAUAACCGGCGAUUUCCGAAUGGGGAAACCCAGUGUGAUUCGUCACACUAUCAUUAACUGAAUCCAUAGGUUAAUGAGGCGAACCGGGGGAACUGAAACAUCUAAGUACCCCGAGGAAAAGAAAUCAACCGAGAUUCCCCCAGUAGCGGCGAGCGAACGGGGAGCAGCCCAGAGCCUGAAUCAGUGUGUGUGUUAGUGGAAGCGUCUGGAAAGGCGUGCGAUACAGGGUGACAGCCCCGUACACAAAAAUGCACAUAUUGUGAGCUCGAUGAGUAGGGCGGGACACGUGGUAUCCUGUCUGAAUAUGGGGGGACCAUCCUCCAAGGCUAAAUACUCCUGACUGACCGAUAGUGAACCAGUACCGUGAGGGAAAGGCGAAAAGAACCCCGGCGAGGGGAGUGAAAAAGAACCUGAAACCGUGUACGUACAAGCAGUGGGAGCACGCUUAGGCGUGUGACUGCGUACCUUUUGUAUAAUGGGUCAGCGACUUAUAUUCUGUAGCAAGGUUAACCGAAUAGGGGAGCCGAAGGGAAACCGAGUCUUAACUGGGCGUUAAGUUGCAGGGUAUAGACCCGAAACCCGGUGAUCUAGCCAUGGGCAGGUUGAAGGUUGGGUAACACUAACUGGAGGACCGAACCGACUAAUGUUGAAAAAUUAGCGGAUGACUUGUGGCUGGGGGUGAAAGGCCAAUCAAACCGGGAGAUAGCUGGUUCUCCCCGAAAGCUAUUUAGGUAGCGCCUCGUGAAUUCAUCUCCGGGGGUAGAGCACUGUUUCGGCAAGGGGGUCAUCCCGACUUACCAACCCGAUGCAAACUGCGAAUACCGGAGAAUGUUAUCACGGGAGACACACGGCGGGUGCUAACGUCCGUCGUGAAGAGGGAAACAACCCAGACCGCCAGCUAAGGUCCCAAAGUCAUGGUUAAGUGGGAAACGAUGUGGGAAGGCCCAGACAGCCAGGAUGUUGGCUUAGAAGCAGCCAUCAUUUAAAGAAAGCGUAAUAGCUCACUGGUCGAGUCGGCCUGCGCGGAAGAUGUAACGGGGCUAAACCAUGCACCGAAGCUGCGGCAGCGACACUAUGUGUUGUUGGGUAGGGGAGCGUUCUGUAAGCCUGUGAAGGUGUACUGUGAGGUAUGCUGGAGGUAUCAGAAGUGCGAAUGCUGACAUAAGUAACGAUAAAGCGGGUGAAAAGCCCGCUCGCCGGAAGACCAAGGGUUCCUGUCCAACGUUAAUCGGGGCAGGGUGAGUCGACUCCUAAGGCGAGGCCGAAAGGCGUAGUCGAUGGGAAACAGGUUAAUAUUCCUGUACUUGGUGUUACUGCGAAGGGGGGACGGAGAAGGCUAUGUUGGCCGGGCGACGGUUGUCCCGGUUUAAGCGUGUAGGCUGGUUUUCCAGGCAAAUCCGGAAAACUAAGGCUGAGGCGUGAUGACGAGGCACUACGGUGCUGAAGCAACAAAUGCCCUGCUUCCAGGAAAAGCCUCUAAGCAUCAGGUAACAUCAAAUCGUACCCCAAACCGACACAGGUGGUCAGGUAGAGAAUACCAAGGCGCUUGAGAGAACUCGGGUGAAGGAACUAGGCAAAAUGGUGCCGUAACUUCGGGAGAAGGCACGCUGAUAUGUAGGUGAAGUCCCUCGCGGAUGGAGCUGAAAUCAGUCGAAGAUACCAGCUGGCUGCAACUGUUUAUUAAAAACACAGCACUGUGCAAACACGAAAGUGGACGUAUACGGUGUGACGCCUGCCCGGUGCCGGAAGGUUAAUUGAUGGGGUCAGCGCAAGCGAAGCUCUUGAUCGAAGCCCCGGUAAACGGCGGCCGUAACUAUAACGGUCCUAAGGUAGCGAAAUUCCUUGUCGGGUAAGUUCCGACCUGCACGAAUGGCGUAAUGAUGGCCAGGCUGUCUCCACCCGAGACUCAGUGAAAUUGAACUCGCUGUGAAGAUGCAGUGUACCCGCGGCAAGACGGAAAGACCCCGUGAACCUUUACUAUAGCUUGACACUGAACAUUGAGCCUUGAUGUGUAGGAUAGGUGGGAGGCUUUGAAGUGUGGACGCCAGUCUGCAUGGAGCCGACCUUGAAAUACCACCCUUUAAUGUUUGAUGUUCUAACGUUGACCCGUAAUCCGGGUUGCGGACAGUGUCUGGUGGGUAGUUUGACUGGGGCGGUCUCCUCCUAAAGAGUAACGGAGGAGCACGAAGGUUGGCUAAUCCUGGUCGGACAUCAGGAGGUUAGUGCAAUGGCAUAAGCCAGCUUGACUGCGAGCGUGACGGCGCGAGCAGGUGCGAAAGCAGGUCAUAGUGAUCCGGUGGUUCUGAAUGGAAGGGCCAUCGCUCAACGGAUAAAAGGUACUCCGGGGAUAACAGGCUGAUACCGCCCAAGAGUUCAUAUCGACGGCGGUGUUUGGCACCUCGAUGUCGGCUCAUCACAUCCUGGGGCUGAAGUAGGUCCCAAGGGUAUGGCUGUUCGCCAUUUAAAGUGGUACGCGAGCUGGGUUUAGAACGUCGUGAGACAGUUCGGUCCCUAUCUGCCGUGGGCGCUGGAGAACUGAGGGGGGCUGCUCCUAGUACGAGAGGACCGGAGUGGACGCAUCACUGGUGUUCGGGUUGUCAUGCCAAUGGCACUGCCCGGUAGCUAAAUGCGGAAGAGAUAAGUGCUGAAAGCAUCUAAGCACGAAACUUGCCCCGAGAUGAGUUCUCCCUGACUCCUUGAGAGUCCUGAAGGAACGUUGAAGACGACGACGUUGAUAGGCCGGGUGUGUAAGCGCAGCGAUGCGUUGAGCUAACCGGUACUAAUGAACCGUGAGGCUUAACCUUACAACGCCGAAGGUGUUU
This 2890-nucleotide ribosomal RNA is filed under the name Shigella sonnei. RNAcentral describes it as "partial 23S ribosomal RNA". It matches the Rfam family "Bacterial large subunit ribosomal RNA". Lineage: Bacteria; Pseudomonadati; Pseudomonadota; Gammaproteobacteria; Enterobacterales; Enterobacteriaceae. The record is from RNAcentral.